GCCCGGGUAGCUCAGUCGGUAGAGCGUUAAUCCAACGGUCUAGGGUUCAAGUCCCUAUCCGGGCG
RNAcentral lists this transfer RNA (65 nucleotides) under Aedes aegypti (yellow fever mosquito). Its description in RNAcentral is "partial tRNA-OTHER". It matches the Rfam family "tRNA". From Rfam's summary of the family: Transfer RNA (tRNA) molecules are approximately 80 nucleotides in length. Their secondary structure includes four short double-helical elements and three loops (D, anti-codon, and T loops). Lineage: Eukaryota; Metazoa; Arthropoda; Insecta; Diptera; Culicidae. The record is from RNAcentral.